UUGAACGCUGGCGGCAUGCCUUACACAUGCAAGUCGAACGGCAGCACGGGAGCUUGCUCCUGGUGGCGAGUGGCGAACGGGUGAGUAAUAUAUCGGAACGUGCCCAGUAGUCGGGGGAUAGCCCGGCGAAAGCCGGAUUAAUACCGCAUACGAUCUACGGAUGGAAGCGGGGGAUCGCAAGACCUCGCGCUAUUGGAGCGGCCGAUAUCUGAUUAGCUAGUUGGUAGGGUAAAAGCCUACCAAGGCGACGAUCAGUAGCUGGUCUGAGAGGACGACCAGCCACACUGGAACUGAGACACGGUCCAGACUCCUACGGGAGGCAGCAGUGGGGAAUUUUGGACAAUGGGCGCAAGCCUGAUCCAGCAAUGCCGCGUGAGUGAAGAAGGCCUUCGGGUUGUAAAGCUCUUUUGUCAGGGAAGAAACGGCGGGCUCUAACAUAGCCUGCUAAUGACGGUACCUGAAGAAUAAGCACCGGCUAACUACGUG
RNAcentral lists this ribosomal RNA (486 nucleotides) under uncultured Oxalobacteraceae bacterium. RNAcentral describes it as "bacterial SSU rRNA". It matches the Rfam family "Bacterial small subunit ribosomal RNA", at positions 30 to 507 of the family's 1533-position model. The record is from RNAcentral. Lineage: Bacteria; Pseudomonadati; Pseudomonadota; Betaproteobacteria; Burkholderiales; Oxalobacteraceae.